Molecule: transfer RNA, 75 nt
Filed under: Clostridia bacterium
Lineage: Bacteria; Bacillati; Bacillota; Clostridia
Description: tRNA-Gln
Rfam family: tRNA
About the family: Transfer RNA (tRNA) molecules are approximately 80 nucleotides in length. Their secondary structure includes four short double-helical elements and three loops (D, anti-codon, and T loops). Further hydrogen bonds mediate the characteristic L-shaped molecular structure. tRNAs have two regions of fundamental functional importance: the anti-codon, which is responsible for specific mRNA codon recognition, and the 3' end, to which the tRNAs corresponding amino acid is attached (by aminoacyl-tRNA synthetases). tRNAs cope with the degeneracy of the genetic code in two manners: having more than one tRNA (with a specific anti-codon) for a particular amino acid; and 'wobble' base-pairing, i.e. permitting non-standard base-pairing at the 3rd anti-codon position.
Source: RNAcentral
UGGGGUGUCGCCAAGCGGUAAGGCACCAGACUCUGACUCUGGCAAUCGUGGGUUCGAAUCCUACCACCCCAGCCA